UACGGAGGGGGCUAGCGUUGUUCGGAUUGACUGGGCGUAAAGGGCGCGUAGGCGGUUCGUACAGUCAGACGUGAAAUUCCUGGGCUCAACCUGGGGGCUGCGUUUGAUACGUGCGGACUUGAGUGCGGAAGAGGGUCGUGGAAUUCCCAGUGUAGAGGUGAAAUUCGUAGAUAUUGGGAAGAACACCGGUGGCGAAGGCGGCGACCUGGUCCGAUACUGACGCUGAGGCGCGAAAGCGUGGGGAGCAAACAGG
Molecule: ribosomal RNA, 253 nt
Filed under: uncultured bacterium
Lineage: Bacteria
Description: partial 16S ribosomal RNA
Rfam family: Bacterial small subunit ribosomal RNA
Source: RNAcentral